RNAcentral lists this microRNA (22 nucleotides) under Ananas comosus (pineapple). RNAcentral's name for it is "microRNA s0434_c56a". The record is from RNAcentral. Lineage: Eukaryota; Viridiplantae; Streptophyta; Magnoliopsida; Poales; Bromeliaceae.
AUUGUAGCUUCACGUGGGAGAU